RNAcentral lists this ribosomal RNA (250 nucleotides) under Klebsiella pneumoniae. Its description in RNAcentral is "partial 16S ribosomal RNA". It matches the Rfam family "Bacterial small subunit ribosomal RNA", at positions 708 to 957 of the family's 1533-position model. Lineage: Bacteria; Pseudomonadati; Pseudomonadota; Gammaproteobacteria; Enterobacterales; Enterobacteriaceae. The record is from RNAcentral.
UCCAUGGCGAAGGCAGCUACCUGGACCAACAUUGACACUGAGGCACGAAAGCGUGGGGAGCAAACAGGAUUAGAUACCCUGGUAGUCCACGCCCUAAACGAUGCGAACUGGAUGUUGGGUGCAAUUUGGCACGCAGUAUCGAAGCUAACGCGUUAAGUUCGCCGCCUGGGGAGUACGGUCGCAAGACUGAAACUCAAAGGAAUUGACGGGGGCCCGCACAAGCGGUGGAGUAUGUGGUUUAAUUCGAUGC